RNAcentral lists this ribosomal RNA (253 nucleotides) under uncultured bacterium. RNAcentral's name for it is "partial 16S ribosomal RNA". It matches the Rfam family "Bacterial small subunit ribosomal RNA", at positions 524 to 776 of the family's 1533-position model. The record is from RNAcentral.
UACGUAGGGGGCAAGCGUUGUCCGGAUUCAUUGGGCGUAAAGAGCGUGUAGGCGGCCAGACAGGUCCGUUGUGAAAACUCGAGGCUCAACCUCGAGACGUCGAUGGAAACCGUCGGGCUAGAGUCCGGAAGAGGAGAGUGGAAUUCCUGGUGUAGCGGUGAAAUGCGCAGAUAUCAGGAGGAACACCCGUGGCGAAAGCGGCUCUCUGGGACGGUACUGACGCUGAGACGCGAAAGCGUGGGGAGCGAACAGG